Molecule: ribosomal RNA, 255 nt
Filed under: uncultured bacterium
Lineage: Bacteria
Description: partial 16S ribosomal RNA
Rfam family: Bacterial small subunit ribosomal RNA
Source: RNAcentral
UACGAAGGGGGCUAGCGUUGUUCGGAAUUACUGGGCGUAAAGGGCGCGUAGGCGGCGUGUCAAGUCAGGCGUGAAAGCCCCGGGCUCAACCUGGGAACCGCGCUUGAGACUGGCAUGCUCGAGUUCGGGAGAGGAUGGUGGAAUUCCCAGUGUAGAGGUGAAAUUCGUAGAUAUUGGGAAGAACACCGAUGGCGAAGGCAGCCAUCUGGACCGACACUGACGCUGAGGCGCGAAAAGCGUGGGGGAGCAAACAGG